ACCAAUUAGUUGAUACCUGGUGGAAGUAUGCAAUUAGAAAUCUUGUAACUACCCAUUAACCGUCACUUGCAUACGAGUUGGAACGGUUUUGCCUAUUGGAGUGGUGGUUGUGAUUCGCAUAGGCGGAGGCGGAGAUUGCGUAGCAGAAUGCAGAUUUGUGCGUGAGCACAUAACCAUUUGUCAUUAAACGAUCCUCUUAUUUGUACCGCAGAACAUCAGUAGAGUUGAUGGUCAAGGAUUUUCACGAAGUCUUGAGGAUUGUAGGUCUAAGGUCAAGAUCUGAGAUAAAACCAUGAAGGGCACAGAAUGAGUUAUGAUGGCUUCAUUAAAAAGUUGAUAACAGCGCCGCCCUAGCGACUGAAUUCAGAACUAGUGUGAUUAAACCAAAUAAAGCGCUAAGUAAGGGUAUUUUUUUGGCUAAUCAGUCCUGAAUUUGACAGCGAAAACAACAAUAUUGUUUUUACUUCCAACGUUGCAAUGGGUUUAUUCCACCUUUAUCAAGGAUUCUAAAGAGAGUUCGU
Molecule: long non-coding RNA, 521 nt
Organism: Topomyia yanbarensis
Lineage: Eukaryota; Metazoa; Arthropoda; Insecta; Diptera; Culicidae
Exons: 3
Source: RefSeq, a predicted model, not a curated record